UGAUGAUUAUUGGAGGUAGAGCACUGUUUGGACGAGGGGCCCCUCUCGGGUUACCGAAUUCAGACAAACUCCGAAUGCCAAUUAAUUUAACUUGGGAGUCAGAACAUGGGUGAUAAGGUCCGUGUUCGAAAGGGAAACAGCCCAGACCACCAGCUAAGGUCCCAAAAUAUAUGUUAAGUGGAAAAGGAUGUGGCGUUGCCCAGACAACUAGGAUGUUGGCUUAGAAGCAGCCAUCAUUUAAAGAGUGCGUAAUAGCUCACUAGUCGAGUGACACUGCGCCGAAAAUGUACCGGGGCUAAACAUAUUACCGAAGCUGUGGAUUGUCCUUUGGACAAUGGUAGGAGAGCGUUCUAAGGGCGUUGAAGCAUGAUCGUAAGGACAUGUGGAGCGCUUAGAAGUGAGAAUGCCGGUGUGAGUAGCGAAAGACGGGUGAGAAUCCCGUCCACCGAUUGACUAAGGUUUCCAGAGGAAGGCUCGUCCGCUCUGGGUUAGUCGGGUCCU
This 501-nucleotide ribosomal RNA is filed under the name Staphylococcus aureus. RNAcentral describes it as "partial 23S ribosomal RNA". It matches the Rfam family "Bacterial large subunit ribosomal RNA", at positions 887 to 1392 of the family's 2925-position model. The record is from RNAcentral. Lineage: Bacteria; Bacillati; Bacillota; Bacilli; Caryophanales; Staphylococcaceae.